GAGUUUGAUCCUGGCUCAGAUUGAACGCUGGCGGCAUGCCUUACACAUGCAAGUCGAGCGGCAGCGCGGGGGCAACCCUGGCGGCGAGCGGCGCACGGGUGAGUAAUGCAUCGGAACGUGUCCUCUUGUGGGGGAUAACCAGUCGAAAGACUGGCUAAUACCGCAUGAGCACGAGAGUGGAAAGCGGGGGACCGUAAGGCCUCGCGCGAGAGGAGCGGCCGAUGCCGGAUUAGCUAGUUGGUGGGGUAAAGGCCUACCAAGGCGACGAUCCGUAGCUGGUUUGAGAGAACGACCAGCCACACUGGGACUGAGACACGGCCCAGACUCCUACGGGAGGCAGCAGUGGGGAAUUUUGGACAAUGGGGGCAACCCUGAUCCAGCCAUGCCGCGUGAGUGAAGAAGGCC
RNAcentral lists this ribosomal RNA (405 nucleotides) under uncultured beta proteobacterium. RNAcentral describes it as "bacterial SSU rRNA". It matches the Rfam family "Bacterial small subunit ribosomal RNA", at positions 9 to 416 of the family's 1533-position model. The record is from RNAcentral. Lineage: Bacteria; Pseudomonadati; Pseudomonadota; Betaproteobacteria.